RNAcentral lists this ribosomal RNA (1372 nucleotides) under uncultured bacterium. Its description in RNAcentral is "bacterial SSU rRNA". It matches the Rfam family "Bacterial small subunit ribosomal RNA", at positions 28 to 1381 of the family's 1533-position model. The record is from RNAcentral.
GAUGAACGCUGGCGGCGUGCCUAAUACAUGCAAGUCGAGCGAACAGACAAGGAGCUUGCUCCUUUGACGUUAGCGGCGGACGGGUGAGUAACACGUGGGUAACCUACCUAUAAGACUGGGAUAACUUCGGGAAACCGGAGCUAAUACCGGAUAAUAUUUCGAACCGCAUGGUUCGAUAGUGAAAGAUGGCUUUGCUAUCACUUAUAGAUGGACCUGCGCCGUAUUAGCUAGUUGGUAAGGUAACGGCUUACCAAGGCAACGAUACGUAGCCGACCUGAGAGGGUGAUCGGCCACACUGGAACUGAGACACGGUCCAGACUCCUACGGGAGGCAGCAGUAGGGAAUCUUCCGCAAUGGGCGAAAGCCUGACGGAGCAACGCCGCGUGAGUGAUGAAGGUCUUCGGAUCGUAAAACUCUGUUAUUAGGGAAGAACAAACGUGUAAGUAACUGUGCACGUCUUGACGGUACCUAAUCAGAAAGCCACGGCUAACUACGUGCCAGCAGCCGCGGUAAUACGUAGGUGGCAAGCGUUAUCCGGAAUUAUUGGGCGUAAAGCGCGCGUAGGCGGUCUUUUAAGUCUGAUGUGAAAGCCCACGGCUCAACCGUGGAGGGUCAUUGGAAACUGGAAAACUUGAGUGCAGAAGAGGAAAGUGGAAUUCCAUGUGUAGCGGUGAAAUGCGCAGAGAUAUGGAGGAACACCAGUGGCGAAGGCGACUUUCUGGUCUGUAACUGACGCUGAUGUGCGAAAGCGUGGGGAUCAAACAGGAUUAGAUACCCUGGUAGUCCACGCCGUAAACGAUGAGUGCUAAGUGUUAGGGGGUUUCCGCCCCUUAGUGCUGCAGCUAACGCAUUAAGCACUCCGCCUGGGGAGUACGACCGCAAGGUUGAAACUCAAAGGAAUUGACGGGGACCCGCACAAGCGGUGGAGCAUGUGGUUUAAUUCGAAGCAACGCGAAGAACCUUACCAAAUCUUGACAUCCUUUGACCCUUCUAGAGAUAGAAGUUUCCCCUUCGGGGGACAAAGUGACAGGUGGUGCAUGGUUGUCGUCAGCUCGUGUCGUGAGAUGUUGGGUCAAGUCCCGCAACGAGCGCAACCCUUAAGCUUAGUUGCCAUCAUUAAGUUGGGCACUCUAAGUUGACUGCCGGUGACAAACCGGAGGAAGGUGGGGAUGACGUCAAGUCAUCAUGCCCCUUAUGAUUUGGGCUACACACGUGCUACAAUGGACAAUACAAAGGGCAGCGAAACCGCGAGGUCAAGCAAAUCCCAUAAAGUUGUUCUCAGUUCGGAUUGUAGUCUGCAACUCGACUACAUGAAGCUGGAAUCGCUAGUAAUCGUGGAUCAGCAUGCUACGGUGAAUACGUUCCCGGGUCU